This 212-nucleotide ribosomal RNA is filed under the name uncultured bacterium. Its description in RNAcentral is "partial 16S ribosomal RNA". It matches the Rfam family "Bacterial small subunit ribosomal RNA", at positions 28 to 217 of the family's 1533-position model. The record is from RNAcentral.
GACGAACGCUGGCGGCGUGCUUAACACAUGCAAGUCGAGGGCACUACUGGGGCAACCUGGUAGUGACCGGCGAACGGGUGCGUAACACGUGAGCGACCUUGCCUGGUGGUGGGGAGUAGCCGGCCCGAACCGGCCGGGUAACGUACCGCCAUAUGGUGCUGACUCCGCAUGGGGACGGGCAGCAAAGACCCUCGGAGGCAAUCCACGUGGCG